CCUACGGGAGGCAGCAGUGGGGAAUUUUGGACAAUGGGCGAAAGCCUGAUCCAGCAAUGCCGCGUGAGUGAAGAAGGCCUUCGGGUUGUAAAGCUCUUUUGUCAGGGAAGAAACGGUGGGAGCUAAUAUCUCCUGCUAAUGACGGUACCUGAAGAAUAAGCACCGGCUAACUACGUGCCAGCAGCCGCGGUAAUACGUAGGGUGCAAGCGUUAAUCGGAAUUACUGGGCGUAAAGCGUGCGCAGGCGGUUUUUGUAAGUCUGAUGUGAAAUCCCCGGGCUCAACCUGGGAAUUGCAUUGGAGACUGCAAGGCUAGAAUCUGGCAGAGGGGGGUAGAAUUCCACGUGUAGCAGUGAAAUGCGUAGAUAUGUGGAGGAACACCGAUGGCGAAGGCAGCCCCCUGGGUCAAGAUUGACGCUCAUGCACGAAAGCGUGGGGAGCAAACAGGAUUAGAUACCCUGGUAGUCCACGCCCUAAACGAUGUCUACUAGUUGUCGGGUCUUAAUUGACUUGGUAACGCAGCUAACGCGUGAAGUAGACCGCCUGGGGAGUACGGUCGCAAGNUUAAAACCUUAAAGGAAUUGACCGGNUGAGAGNGCGACGACGACGACGAGGGAGGAGG
Molecule: ribosomal RNA, 621 nt
Filed under: uncultured bacterium
Lineage: Bacteria
Description: bacterial SSU rRNA
Rfam family: Bacterial small subunit ribosomal RNA
Source: RNAcentral